Long non-coding RNA from Rhea pennata, 620 nucleotides. RefSeq lists it as uncharacterized. The record is from RefSeq and is a predicted model, not a curated record. The transcript is spliced from 3 exons. Lineage: Eukaryota; Metazoa; Chordata; Aves; Rheiformes; Rheidae.
GCAGUGGAUUGUGAAAUGCUUGAAAAUGGGAAUCGUAGGACCAUUAUUUAAUGCCAAGUGUUAUCCACAUCAUGUCUGAAGCUCGAACAUGCCAGAAGAGCAUCCUUCACAUUCUGCAGCUAAUCUAUGCAGGCUCUCAGGAUUAAUCGUGAGUUGGCUGGAGUCAGUGUGGAUCCUCUAUAGAAAUGCUGAUCAGAUGAACAGCCUAAUGCGAUGAAGAUGUUACAGCAAUGCAAAUCCAGGUCAGAGUGAAUUUCUCCCUGUUCUGAGGCCAUGUUGUUGUUAUUUGAAAACUCACAGAGCCCACAGAACUGCAGAAGAACAAGCACAAGCCUUGCCUAUCCUACUUCAUCUCCAAUCAGCCAAACAAGCAGGCUAGCUUUGGAGUCCUCCAGGGUCAUUUUAUUUUUAGGGCUGAUGCCUGAAGCAGGAAGAAAACAGCAUGAUCUGUAGGUUCUGCUUUGAGCUUCCAGUGCUGGCAGCAAAAACCAACAUAUUUUGACAUGCAAGCUGAGUUUAACCAAUGGCAAAAAACAUAUACGCCAGUAAGUUGCCAUAUUUUGAGUGUUGCUAUUCAGAACUACAGUACAGUUCCUUGUCUAUCAUAGAUUUACUUUUGA